ACUCCUACGGGAGGCAGCAGUGGGGAAUAUUGCACAAUGGGCGCAAGCCUGAUGCAGCCAUGCCGCGUGUGUGAAGAAGGCCUUCGGUUGUAAGCACUUUUCAGUUGUGAGGAAGGUGGUGUCGUUAAUAGCGGCAUCAUUUUGACGUUUAGCAACAGAAGAAGCACCGGCUAACUCCGUGCCAGCAGCCGCGGUAAUACGGAGGGUGCGAGCGUUAAUCGGAUUACUGGGCGUAAAGCGCAUGCAGGUGGUUUGUUAAGUCAGAUGUGAAAGCCCGGGGCUCAACCUCGGAACUGCAUUUGAAACUGGCAGACUAGAGUACUGUAGAGGGGGUAGAAUUUCAGGUGUAGCGGUG
Molecule: ribosomal RNA, 355 nt
Filed under: uncultured bacterium
Lineage: Bacteria
Description: bacterial SSU rRNA
Rfam family: Bacterial small subunit ribosomal RNA
Source: RNAcentral